Molecule: non-coding RNA, 29 nt
Filed under: Mus musculus (house mouse)
Lineage: Eukaryota; Metazoa; Chordata; Mammalia; Rodentia; Muridae
Source: RNAcentral
UCUGAGGGUUUNCUGCCUUGAAGGCUGUC